UUAAGUGAAUAAGGGCGCACGGUGGAUGCCUUGGUACUAGGAGCCGAAGAAGGACGGAACUAACACCGAUAUGCUUUGGGGAGCUGUAAGUAAGCUAAGAUCCAAAGAUUUCCGAAUGGGGGAACCCAACACCUUUCAUAGGGUGUUACCAAUGAGUGAAUACAUAGCUCAUUAGGAGGUACACGCAGGGAACUGAAACAUCUCAUUACCUGCAGGAAGAGAAAGAAAAAUCGAUUCCCUGAGUAGCGGCGAGCGAAACGGGAGGAGCCCAAACCAACGAGCUUGCUUGUUGGGGUUGUAGGACUAGAACGUGAGAAGAAAUCAAGAUAGCAGAAGUGGUCUGGAAAGGCCCAUCAAAGAAGGUGACAAUCCUGUACGCGACAUCUUGAUGAACUCUACUAGCAUCCUGAGUACGGCGGGACACGAGGAAUCCCGUCGGAAUCCGCCAGGACCAUCUGGCAAGGCUAAAUACUACCUAGUGACCGAUAGUGAACCAGUACCGUGAGGGAAAGGUGAAAAGAACCCCGGGAGGGGAGUGAAAGAGUACCUGAAACCGUGUGCUUACAAGUAGUCAGAGCCCGUUAAUGGGUGAUGGCGUGCCUUUUGUAGAAUGAACCGGCGAGUUACGUUUACAUGCGAGGUUAAGAUGAAGAGUCGGAGCCGUAGCGAAAGCGAGUCUGAAUAGGGCGCAUGUAGUAUGUGGACGUAGACCCGAAACCAAGUGAUCUACCCAUGUCCAGGUUGAAGGUGCGGUAAAACGCACUGGAGGACCGAACCAGGGCACGUUGAAAAGUGCUUGGAUGAGGUGUGGGUAGCGGAGAAAUUCCAAUCGAACUUGGAGAUAGCUGGUUCUCUCCGAAAUAGCUUUAGGGCUAGCCUCGGAAUCAAGAAUCGUGGAGGUAGAGCACUGUUUGGACUAGGGGCCCAUCUCGGGUUACCGAAUUCAGAUAAACUCCGAAUGCCAUGUAUUUAUAUCCGGGAGUCAGACUGCGAGUGAUAAGAUCCGUAGUCGAAAGGGAAACAGCCCAGACCACCAGCUAAGGUCCCAAAAUAUCUGUUAAGUGGAAAAGGAUGUGGGGUUGCACAGACAACUAGGAUGUUGGCUUAGAAGCAGCCAUCAUUCAAAGAGUGCGUAAUAGCUCACUAGUCGAGUGACCCUGCGCCGAAAAUGUAACGGGGCUAAACAGAUUACCGAAGCUGUGGAUUGGACCUUAUGGUCCAGUGGUAGGAGAGCGUUCUAAGGGCGGUGAAGCAUGACCGUAAGGACAUGUGGAGCGCUUAGAAGUGAGAAUGCCGGUAUGAGUAGCGAAAGACGGGUGAGAAUCCCGUCCACCGAAUAACUAAGGUUUCCUGGGGAAGGCUCGUCCUCCCAGGGUUAGUCGGGACCUAAGGCGAGGCCGAUAGGCGUAGUCGAUGGACAACAGGUUGAUAUUCCUGUACUUCUAUAAAUCGUUUGAGCAAUGGAGGGACGCAGGAGGCUAAGAAAAGCGUACGACUGGAAGUGUACGUCCAAGCAGUGAGUCGGCUGAUGAGUUAAAUGCUUAUCACAGAUGCGACAAGCUGUGACGGGGAGGGAAGUUUAGUACCGAAGUUUCUGAUGUCACACUGCCGAGAAAAGCUUCUAGCAAGAUUUAUAGGACCCGUACCGCAAACCGACACAGGUAGUUGAGGAGAGAAUCCUAAGGUGAGCGAGCGAACUCUCGUUAAGGAACUCGGCAAAAUGACCCCGUAACUUCGGGAGAAGGGGUGCUGGUAGCAAUACCAGCCGCAGUGAAUAGGCCCAGGCGACUGUUUAUCAAAAACACAGGUCUCUGCAAAAUCGAAAGAUGACGUAUAGGGGCUGACGCCUGCCCGGUGCUGGAAGGUUAAGAGGAGAGGUUAGCGCAAGCGAAGCUUUGAAUUGAAGCCCCAGUAAACGGCGGCCGUAACUAUAACGGUCCUAAGGUAGCGAAAUUCCUUGUCGGGUAAGUUCCGACCCGCACGAAAGGCGUAACGAUCUGGGCACUGUCUCAACGAGAGACUCGGUGAAAUU
This 2032-nucleotide ribosomal RNA is filed under the name metagenome. RNAcentral describes it as "bacterial LSU rRNA". It matches the Rfam family "Bacterial large subunit ribosomal RNA", at positions 1 to 2043 of the family's 2925-position model. The record is from RNAcentral.